GACGAACGCUGGCGGCGUGCUUAACACAUGCAAGUCGAACGGUAAGGCCCUUCGGGGUACACGAGUGGCGAACGGGUGAGUAACACGUGGGUGAUCUGCCCUGCACUUCGGGAUAAGCCUGGGAAACUGGGUCUAAUACCGGAUAGGACCACUGCCUGCAUGGGUGGUGGUGGAAAGCUUUUGCGGUGUGGGAUGGGCCCGCGGCCUAUCAGCUUGUUGGUGGGGUGAUGGCCUACCAAGGCGACGACGGGUAGCCGGCCUGAGAGGGUGACCGGCCGCACUGGGACUGAGAUGCGGCCCAGACUCCUACGGGAGGCAGCAGUGGGGAAUAUUGCACAAUGGGCGCACGCCGGAUGCAGCGACGCCGCGUGAGGGAUGGCGGCCUUCGGGUUGUAAACCUCUUUCAGAACCGACGAAGCGCAAGUGACGGUAGGUGCAGAAGAAGGACCGGCCAACUACGUGCCAGCCGCCGCCGUAA
This 478-nucleotide ribosomal RNA is filed under the name uncultured bacterium. RNAcentral's name for it is "partial 16S ribosomal RNA". It matches the Rfam family "Bacterial small subunit ribosomal RNA", at positions 28 to 523 of the family's 1533-position model. The record is from RNAcentral.